RNAcentral lists this long non-coding RNA (305 nucleotides) under Mytilus galloprovincialis (Mediterranean mussel). The record is from RNAcentral. Lineage: Eukaryota; Metazoa; Mollusca; Bivalvia; Mytilida; Mytilidae.
GGCCUAACAAUGUCUUUUCUCUCGUAAAUCUAUUUUUACAAUUUACUACUGGUACAUCAAUUAGAUUGCAGUACCGGUACCUCAUAUCUACUAAACCAAAUACAUGUAUAAAUCAAAUAUACCCACAUGUUAUGUCAUCCUAUCUACUAUUUAUUAUCUUAGAUAUCAAAAGUUUUACAAAGAAAGUAAAAAAAAAAUCCCCCCCCCCUGUUUGGUUUUAAACAGAUAUUAGUUAAAAUAUUGAUAUGCAGGAAUGUAUCAUUUGUGCAGUACAGUAGUAAGGUAACAUAUUCGGGGGGGGGGGG